UCCUCUCUGUGGUGGUCUCUCUGUUUUUCUUUUUUGAACAGUCUUACAACUGGAGUUGGUCUGUCAGAGGUAAAGUGAGUUGAAGAAAGGACCACCUACAGGAUAAGCCUGUCUAAGAUAAUGUUUUACUGUAACCAUCUGGCUUUUGAAUUGCUUUCUGGAUUAUUAUACAAUCUUGCUGUUGGAGUUGGUAUGUCCAAAGUCAAUGCUAUCUGAUAUCACUCCUGGUUGUCCACAAAGGAGCUACCAGUUCUUCUUUUGUUAUGGUGGUGAGGCUCUGUGACCUGCCUGGGAUCCGUGCUCAAUAAAUGCAUGAAUCUCUGCUUCUGGGGAAGAUAGGCAGGAAAUGUGGAAACAGCAGAAGCACAUCAAGAUGAUUUUAGUCAGCUGUUAAGAUCUGAAGGAAAACUUGAAGCUCACAAGGUUCAGGGAUCACCCUGCUGCGCCAGGCAGGAGGACCUACCCAGUAUGUUCCCUCCAUGCUGGAAUCGCCUACAGGCCCCAGCCCAAGAAUGGAGAGGCAUAGAACCGGGAGGCCACCUGCAGAAGGGACUAAGGGGUGAGUUCUCAGGAUGCCAUUGUCAACCAAAAUCAAUUCUACAAACAGUGGUGUGAAAGCCGACUCUGUCACAGAGACAGCAUGGCUGAAAUCGAGCACUGUUACUAGUGUCCUUGGGCAAAGACACUGGCCCUGGGGGUGCCAAGAGACAAACUUGGCCACUUGUCCCUAUAUGCCAAUCAAAGAGAUGAAUCGUGGUGAAGGGUGAGAAAGGGAGAACUGGCUCUGGAGCAUUCUCUCUCUCUCUCUCUCUCCAUGGGACCCAGGGCUUUGCAACAUACCAGGCAAGUGCUCUACCAUGGAAGGACAUCCCCAGCUCAGCCAAGGAAAGGAGUUUUUCAACACAGCCACACUGGGACAAACCGACACUGGGGCACAGUGACCAAAGAUCUGUCUUCCAGGGACUGACAGAAACUUUGUGGUUUUACAGAAAAGGGCAAUGAAGGAGGUUUGCAUAGCUGCUGGGGAGGUCGUCCUGGUCAGGUCAUUCUGGUUGAUCAUUAUCUCAGGACUGGUUCUGUAUGGCUCUGGAAAGGUCACCAUGGCUGGAGGGAUGGUUCUGUUCUGAUCACGAGAAGAUUACUCCUGCUCAGGGGGCAACCUCGGCUCUGAUAUGGCAUCACUGCUCAGGCUCCGGGAGAUGUCUCAUCAUGUCUAUGGUGGGUUGAACUGUGCUUCCAGGCUGUUGCUUUGAAGUAGUUUCAGUCCUUUGUCAGAGUGAUGCUUAUCCAUCAGGCCUAUUCCUGGAAUGCAGAUAAUUGCAAGAGGAAGUGGCUCAGAGAAAAAGCACUGAAGCCUUGGAAUGGAGUCAGAGAGCGCCAGGAUGGAGUCCGUCAGGCCCAAUCAGCUGAGAGACCCCCAUUUUCUUCUUUCAUGCAUCUGUGCCACGUUCUCCCUUUCCACAGGCCUCUCUCGGUGCCUCUUUUCCCUCCCCUUCACUCUUAGACCUGCUGUUUUAGGCUCCGGGAAGUAAGCGUGUUGGGAUUGGAGUCAAUACAAUGGGAGUAGCCUAGCACUCCAAGGUCAAUGACAACUGGGGAUCCAUCCAUUAUUCCUGAUGUUACAGACAUCGCAAGACCACCUGGGGCUGGAUGGAGUGGCUCACACCUGUAACCCCAGGAGCUCAGGAGGCUGAGGCAGAAAGAUU
This is a long non-coding RNA of Marmota flaviventris (yellow-bellied marmot), 1706 nucleotides long. RefSeq lists it as uncharacterized. The record is from RefSeq and is a predicted model, not a curated record. NCBI's taxonomy places the organism in Eukaryota, Metazoa, Chordata, Mammalia, Rodentia, Sciuridae.